AAACGCGUGCAGCUUGCAUGCCUGCAGGUCGACGAUUCCCGCCGGACCCCACUGCUAUCGGGAUAGGACUAAGACAUGCUAGUCGAGCGCCUCCCAGCCACGACGGAGGCGCGGCGCACAGCUCAGUAACACGUGGCUAACCUGCCCUUGGGACAGAGACACCCCCGGGAAACUGGGGCUAAUCCCUGAUAGGUGAAGAACUCUGGAAUGAGUCUUCACCCAAAAGACGCCUAGGCCACGCUUCUAGGCGCCGCCCAAGGAUGGGGCCGCGACCGAUCAGGUUGUUGGUGAGGUAACGGCCUACCAAGCCUUUUACCGGUACGGGCCGUGAGAGCGGGAGCCCGGAGAUGGGCACUGAGACAAGGGCCCAGGUCCUACGGGGCGCAGCAGUCGCGCAAACUUUGCAAUACACGAAAGUGUGACAGGGCUAUCCCGAGUGCCGUCCGCUGAGGGUGGCUUUUACCCAGUCUAGAAAGCUGGGAGAAUAAGGAGAGGGCAAGUCUGGUGUCAGCCGCCGCGGUAAUACCAGCUCUCCGAGUGGUGUGGAUGUUUAUUGGGCCUAAAGCAUCCGUAGCUUGCUGAUCAAGUCCCCUGUUAAAUCCAACGAAUCAAUCGUUGGAUUGCGGGGGAUACUGCUCGGCUAGGGGACGGGAGAGGCCGACGGUAUUUUCGGGGUAGGGGUGAAAUCCUAUAAUCCCGAGAGGACCACCAGUGGCGAAGGCUGUCGGCUAGAACGCGCCCAACGGUGAGGGAUGAAAGCUGGGGGAGCGAACCGGAUUAGAUACCCGGGUAGUCCCAGCUGUAAACGAUGCAUGCUAGGUGUUUGGGCGGCCACGCGCCGCUCUAGUGCCGCAGGGAAGCUGUUAAGCCUGCCGCCUGGGGAGUACGGCCGCAAGGCUGAAACUUAAAGGAAUUGGCGGGGGAGCACCACAAGGGGUGAAGCUUGCGGUUUAAAUGGAGUCAACGCCGGAAAUCUCUAGAGGAUCCC
This 988-nucleotide ribosomal RNA is filed under the name uncultured archaeon. RNAcentral describes it as "partial 16S rRNA". It matches the Rfam family "Archaeal small subunit ribosomal RNA", at positions 1 to 939 of the family's 1478-position model. The record is from RNAcentral.